UUUGACAUGAAGAAAAAUGUGGCUUUAUAGAGCAUCACAAAGAAGACUUGGAAUUUUAAACCCAGGUGAAACUGUUCAAACUUGAAUAAAAUCUGUGGUGUGCACAGCUGAAGAGCUGUCUCUGAGCUAUGAAGACAGAAAAGAAAGAGAAAACUCACUGAAGUUCUUAAACAGAGGCUUAACUACGUACAAAGGUCUCUUCCCUACUCUGCUGGCAAUUUUCUACAAUAACUUCCCAGUCCACUUUCUGAAGACAGCAGUGAGAAGGAGGUAGAAGAAUCUCUUCUUUACUGUCUUAUGCACAGCUGAAAAUAUUUUGAAGCACCUUCAGGUCUCACAGCAUUUUUCUCUGCUGCAUUAACUCUACUGACUGGCUUUAGUCAGUAUACCUUAAAACUGGCUAAUGAGAAGGAAAAUCAAGAUUUGUAUAUCUUGACUUGUAGUAAUUAAUUUUCUGCUCCAGAAAUAAUGCAGGAGAGGAUGCGUUAAGGGAGUGAAGCAAUGGACAAACGUGUCUGACUCGACAAGUUCUGUUCUCACCCAGUGCUUUUGCAGUG
Molecule: long non-coding RNA, 557 nt
Filed under: Cyanistes caeruleus (blue tit)
Lineage: Eukaryota; Metazoa; Chordata; Aves; Passeriformes; Paridae
Description: lncRNA (ENSCCEG00000018538.1)
Source: RNAcentral